GGCCGGGCUGGAUGGUCUCGCCGCAAGGUGUGCACUGUUCGGUCUGGCCUUUCCUUCUGGGGAACUGUGGUCCUCUUUAUUGGGUGCCGCAGGGAUCCAGGACUUUUACUUUGAAAAAAUUAGAGUGUUGAAAGCGGGCAUUUGCUUGAAUACAUUAGCAUGGAAUAAUAGAAUAGGACUUUGGUUCUAUUUUGUUGGUUUCUAGGACCAAAGUA
RNAcentral lists this ribosomal RNA (215 nucleotides) under uncultured fungus. RNAcentral's name for it is "partial small subunit ribosomal RNA". The stretch from base 91 to 215 matches the Rfam family "Eukaryotic small subunit ribosomal RNA", at positions 737 to 864 of the family's 1831-position model. The record is from RNAcentral. Lineage: Eukaryota; Fungi.